UAAAAUAUUAACAAAAUCCGUAAACGUCCGAACAGCUUUCAUUGCGAGAACUCUCGAGAAUUAGAUGAGACCAACACGCGAGAGGUGAAAAUCGAGAGAAAUAUUCAACUUGAAAAAAGAGGUAAAACUUUAUAUUUUCUCGAUUUGCAAGGUUUUUAAAUUGCAUAAAGUUGAAAAACAAACGUUUCUUUACAUGAAAAGUGAAAGUAUGUAUGAAGUUUCUCGUUCUGUCACGUGCUAUUGUACAUGAAAGUGUCAAAACUGCACCUCUCGAUUUUGUAAACAUUUUUCCACGUGCAAGGGAGUAGUUGUGUCGGUAAAGAUGAACACACAUACACUGGUUUAGGAAACAAAAGCACUCGAUAUUCUGAAGACAGUGAUGACAUGAAAGUUCAAGAUUUGCCUAUUGUGAGCAUUCAGAUACCUCGGUAAUACAGAAUGGGUC
Long non-coding RNA from Saccostrea echinata, 445 nucleotides. RefSeq lists it as uncharacterized. The transcript has 3 exons. The record is from RefSeq and is a predicted model, not a curated record. Lineage: Eukaryota; Metazoa; Mollusca; Bivalvia; Ostreida; Ostreidae.